RNAcentral lists this non-coding RNA (104 nucleotides) under Ascidiaceihabitans donghaensis. RNAcentral describes it as "TPP riboswitch aptamer (THI element)". It matches the Rfam family "TPP riboswitch aptamer (THI element)". Rfam says of the family: Vitamin B(1) in its active form thiamin pyrophosphate (TPP) is an essential coenzyme that is synthesised by coupling of pyrimidine and thiazole moieties in bacteria. The previously detected thiamin-regulatory element, thi box was extended, resulting in a new, highly conserved RNA secondary structure, the THI element, which is widely distributed in eubacteria and also occurs in some archaea. Analysis of operon structures identified a large number of new candidate thiamin-regulated genes, mostly transporters, in various prokaryotic organisms. The record is from Rfam by way of RNAcentral. Lineage: Bacteria; Pseudomonadati; Pseudomonadota; Alphaproteobacteria; Rhodobacterales; Paracoccaceae.
GGCGCUACCUCGGGGGGCUUUUUCAAAAGCUGAGAUUGCAAUUCUGCUGACCCGUUGAACCUGAACCGGCUAACACCGGCGGAGGGAAGGUAACGGCAACAGCC